RNAcentral lists this long non-coding RNA (396 nucleotides) under Gossypium barbadense (sea-island cotton). Its description in RNAcentral is "long non-coding RNA (GBAR_LNC022319)". Lineage: Eukaryota; Viridiplantae; Streptophyta; Magnoliopsida; Malvales; Malvaceae. The record is from RNAcentral.
AUUAGUCUAGCAGUUCACCGCAACCUACUUCGGCUCUACGGAUUUUGCAUGACAGCGACUGAAAGGCUUUUGGUUUACCCCUACAUGUCCAAUGGUAGUGUUGCUAAUCGACUUAAAGGUAGCGCGAGAGAAAUCAUCUCUGCUAUUAAAUUCCAUUUAUGAAAUACCAACAAUCAUAUACAAUGAAACGCAUAUCAUAUGCAUUGUCCAAUACCAAUUCUAAAUGUUCAAAUAAGGUAAAAUUUACCUUAGAAUAAUGUUGGUGAUUUCUGAUGUUUGCAGCCAAACCAGCCUUGGAUUGGGGAACGAGGAAAAGGAUAGCUUUAGGAACAGCUAGGGGAUUAUUGUAUUUGCACGAGCAAUGUGACCCGAAGAUAAUUCAUAGGGAUGUUAAAG